This 897-nucleotide ribosomal RNA is filed under the name uncultured bacterium. RNAcentral's name for it is "bacterial SSU rRNA". It matches the Rfam family "Bacterial small subunit ribosomal RNA", at positions 9 to 951 of the family's 1533-position model. The record is from RNAcentral.
GAGUUUGAUCCUGGCUCAGGAUGAACGCUGGCGGUAUGCUUAACACAUGCAAGUCGAACGAAAGUUUUUAACUUUAGUGGCGAACGGGUGAGUAAUACGUGAGAAUCUGCCCUUAGGAAAAGAAUAACUUCUGGAAACGGUUGCUAAAUCUUUAUAUGUCGAGAGAUGAAAUAGCUUAGGCUGCCGAAGGACGAGCUCACGCCUGAUUAGCUUGUUGGUGAGGUAAUGGCUCACCAAGGCCACGAUCAGUAGCUGGUUUGAGAGAACGAUCAGCCACACUGGGACUGAGACACGGCCCAGACUCCUCCGGGAGGCAGCAGUGAGGAAUUUUCCGCAAUGGGCGAAAGCCUGACGGAGCAAUACCGCGUGAGGGAUGAAGGAUUUUGGUCUGUAAACCUCUUUUCUCAAGAAAGAAGUUCUGACGGUACUUGAGGAAUAAGCAUCGGCUAACUCCGUGCCAGCAGCCGCGGUAAUACGGGGGAUGCAAGCGUUAUCCGGAAUGAUUGGGCGUAAAGCGCCUGUAGGUUGUUUAUUAAGUCCGUUGUUAAAGCCUAGGGCUUAACCCUAGAAAAGCAAUGGAAACUAGUAGACUAGAGUAUGGCAGGGGUAGAGGGAAUUUCUAGUGUAGCGGUGAAAUGCGUAGAUAUUAGAAAAGAACACCGGUGGCGAAAGCGCUCUACUGGACCAUUACUGACACUCAGAGGCGAAAGCUAGGGUAGCAAAAGGGAUUAGAUACCCCUGUAGUCCUAGCCGUAAACGAUGGAUACUAGAUGUUGUGCAUUAUGUACAGUAUCGUAGCUAACGCGUUAAGUAUCCCGCCUGGGGAGUACGCUCGCAAGGGUGAAACUCAAAGGAAUUGACGGGGCCCGCACAAGCGGUGGAGCAUGUGGUUUAAUU